Molecule: ribosomal RNA, 465 nt
Filed under: Weissella confusa
Lineage: Bacteria; Bacillati; Bacillota; Bacilli; Lactobacillales; Lactobacillaceae
Description: bacterial SSU rRNA
Rfam family: Bacterial small subunit ribosomal RNA
Source: RNAcentral
CCUACGGGCGGCUGCAGUGGGGAAUUUUGGACAAUGGGCGCAAGCCUGAUCCAGCAAUGCCGCGUGCAGGAAGAAGGCCUUCGGGUUGUAAACUGCUUUUGUACGGAACGAAACGGUCUGGGUUAAUACCCUGGGCUAAUGACGGUACCGUAAGAAUAAGCACCGGCUAACUACGUGCCAGCAGCCGCGGUAAUACGUAGGGUGCAAGCGUUAAUCGGAAUUACUGGGCGUAAAGCGUGCGCAGGCGGUUUUGUAAGACAGGCGUGAAAUCCCCGGGCUCAACCUGGGAAUUGCGCUUGUGACUGCAAAGCUGGAGUGCGGCAGAGGGGGAUGGAAUUCCGCGUGUAGCAGUGAAAUGCGUAGAUAUGCGGAGGAACACCGAUGGCGAAGGCAAUCCCCUGGGCCUGCACUGACGCUCAUGCACGAAAGCGUGGGGAGCAAACAGGAUUAGAUACCCGUGUAGUC